ACAAACUUGUCGGAGUGCAUUAGGGCGAUAUUGCCCUGAAGCUGAGACCGCAUUGCGGGAUCCGUUGAACCUGAUCAGGCUAAUACCUGCGAAGGGAACAAGUAGUGAUUAUGU
This 114-nucleotide non-coding RNA is filed under the name Alishewanella agri. RNAcentral's name for it is "TPP sequence". It matches the Rfam family "TPP riboswitch aptamer (THI element)". From Rfam's summary of the family: Vitamin B(1) in its active form thiamin pyrophosphate (TPP) is an essential coenzyme that is synthesised by coupling of pyrimidine and thiazole moieties in bacteria. The previously detected thiamin-regulatory element, thi box was extended, resulting in a new, highly conserved RNA secondary structure, the THI element, which is widely distributed in eubacteria and also occurs in some archaea. Analysis of operon structures identified a large number of new candidate thiamin-regulated genes, mostly transporters, in various prokaryotic organisms. RNAcentral also lists the same sequence under 1 other name. Lineage: Bacteria; Pseudomonadati; Pseudomonadota; Gammaproteobacteria; Alteromonadales; Alteromonadaceae. The record is from RNAcentral.